AUUGAACGCUGGCGGCAGGCUUAACACAUGCAAGUCGAGCGGGGGAAGGUAGCUUGCUACCGGACCUAGCGGCGGACGGGUGAGUAAUGCUUAGGAAUCUGCCUAUUAGUGGGGGACCACGUCUCGAAAGGGAUGCUAACACCGCAUACGUCCUACGGGAGAAAGCAGGGGAUCUUCGGACCUUGCGCUAAUAGAUGAGCCUAAGUCGGAUUAGCUAGUUGGUGGGGUAAAGGCCUACCAAGGCGACGAUCUGUAGCGGGUCUGAGAGGAUGAUCCGCCACACUGGGACUGAGACACGGCCCAGACUCCUACGGGAGGCAGCAGUGGGGAAUAUUGGACAAUGGGGGGAACCCUGAUCCAGCCAUGCCGCGUGUGUGAAGAAGGCCUUAUGGUUGUAAAGCACUUUAAGCGAGGAGGAGGCUACUCUAGUUAAUACCUAGGGAUAGUGGACGUUACUCGCAGAAUAAGCACCGGCUAACUCUGUGCCAGCCGCCGCAGUAA
This 501-nucleotide ribosomal RNA is filed under the name uncultured bacterium. Its description in RNAcentral is "partial 16S ribosomal RNA". It matches the Rfam family "Bacterial small subunit ribosomal RNA", at positions 30 to 523 of the family's 1533-position model. The record is from RNAcentral.